Long non-coding RNA from Hyaena hyaena (striped hyena), 815 nucleotides. RefSeq lists it as uncharacterized. NCBI's taxonomy places the organism in Eukaryota, Metazoa, Chordata, Mammalia, Carnivora, Hyaenidae. The transcript is spliced from 4 exons. The record is from RefSeq and is a predicted model, not a curated record.
CUAUGGACAGUCCUUUGCUUUUCUAGACACGAGUAAGCUUGGGAAUGCGCUACUUCAUUCUAGGCCAGGCUGCCUGCAGAUCUAGACCCUUUCCUCUGCUACUUUAUUGCCAGUUACAUUAACUGCAAUCUAUGACAAGAGUUGAUUAACACUGUCCUAUAGUCAACAUCUCUUAGUAAUAGUGAAAGUCGUCCUACUCAAUAACCAUCCUCUGUGGUCUCCCUCACACCAGCCACACAGGUUUUCAGAGUGGCCGGCCUAUCACCCGCAGCUGAACGAGGUACAUGGCCAUCCAACCAGAAACUCCAUUUUCCGGUCUCUCCUGCAGGGAGCCCCGCAGACAUUCCAGUGCUGCCAAAUCUGAAGCAGGAAGGACAACAGAAUCGCACCCACUGAGAACGUCGUGCAGGCAAACAGAGCCCGCCCCACACUGGCUGCUGGGUGUGCCCUGGGAUGGCCCAGGACAUCUCCUGGGGAUACAGGGAAGAGCAGAAGCCGUGGAGGCUCGCAGCUUCAGUCACAAUGACUUGUUCUGGAAAGUCAGCUGCCAUGUUGUGAGAACACUCAAGCAGUCCUAAUAAGGGGCCAAUGUCGCAAAGAACUACGGCCUCCCACUGAGAGCCAUGUGGAAGAGCCAUCAUAGAGGGGAUCCUUCAGCCCCAGUUGAGCCUUCAGAUGACUACAGCCUAAAGACAGACUAUGAGCCAGAACCACCAGAUUAGUUUCUCCUAAAUCUCUAACCCACAGAAACUAUGAGCCAAUAAAUGUCACCUAUCUUAGGCCUCCAAAAACACCCAUUCUUUAAGUCUGAAAUU